GACGAACGCUGGCGGCAUGUCUAAGGCAUGCAAGUCGAAGGAUCGAUUCUGACUUCGGUUAGAACACGGACUGGCAAACGGGAGAGUAACACAUUAGUAACCUACCUCUGAGUCGGGCAUAGCUCCGGGAAACCGGAAUUAAUACCCGAUGGUCAUGUAUCUCAUAAGAGAUACUUGUAAACUUUUUGGCUCAGAGAGGGGCUUAUGGCUGAUUAGCUUGUUGGUGAGGUAAUGGCUCACCAAGGCUCCGAUCAGUAGCGGGCGUGAGAGCGUGGCCCGUCUCACUGGGACUGAGACACUGCCCAG
This 306-nucleotide ribosomal RNA is filed under the name uncultured bacterium. Its description in RNAcentral is "bacterial SSU rRNA". It matches the Rfam family "Bacterial small subunit ribosomal RNA", at positions 28 to 334 of the family's 1533-position model. The record is from RNAcentral.